This 436-nucleotide ribosomal RNA is filed under the name uncultured Lachnospiraceae bacterium. RNAcentral describes it as "bacterial SSU rRNA". It matches the Rfam family "Bacterial small subunit ribosomal RNA", at positions 341 to 792 of the family's 1533-position model. Lineage: Bacteria; Bacillati; Bacillota; Clostridia; Lachnospirales; Lachnospiraceae. The record is from RNAcentral.
ACGGGAGGCAGCAGUGGGGAAUAUUGGGCAAUGGGCGAAAGCCUGACCCAGCGACGCCGCGUGCAGGAAGAAGAUCUUCGGAUUGUAAACUGCUUUUAUCGGGGACGAAAAAAUGACGGUACCUGAUGAAUAAGCCCCGGCUAACUACGUGCCAGCAGCCGCGGUAAUACGUAGGGGGCAAGCGUUAUCCGGAUUUACUGGGUGUAAAGGGAGCGUAGACGGCAAGGUAAGUCUGAAGUGAAAUGCCGGGGCUCAACCCCGGAACUGCUUUGGAAACUAUCUCGCUCGAGUACCGGAGGGGUAAGCGGAAUUCCUAGUGUAGCGGUGAAAUGCGUAGAUAUUAGGAGGAACACCAGUGGCGAAGGCGGCUUACUGGACGGUAACUGACGUUGAGGCUCGAAAGCGUGGGGAGCAAACAGGAUUAGAUACCCUGGUA